RNAcentral lists this ribosomal RNA (465 nucleotides) under uncultured Klebsiella sp. RNAcentral describes it as "bacterial SSU rRNA". It matches the Rfam family "Bacterial small subunit ribosomal RNA", at positions 338 to 795 of the family's 1533-position model. The record is from RNAcentral. Lineage: Bacteria; Pseudomonadati; Pseudomonadota; Gammaproteobacteria; Enterobacterales; Enterobacteriaceae.
CCUACGGGAGGCUGCAGUGGGGAAUAUUGCACAAUGGGCGCAAGCCUGAUGCAGCCAUGCCGCGUGUGUGAAGAAGGCCUUCGGGUUGUAAAGCACUUUCAGCGGGGAGGAAGGCGGUGAGGUUAAUAACCUCAUCGAUUGACGUUACCCGCAGAAGAAGCACCGGCUAACUCCGUGCCAGCAGCCGCGGUAAUACGGAGGGUGCAAGCGUUAAUCGGAAUUACUGGGCGUAAAGCGCACGCAGGCGGUCUGUCAAGUCGGAUGUGAAAUCCCCGGGCUCAACCUGGGAACUGCAUUCGAAACUGGCAGGCUAGAGUCUUGUAGAGGGGGGUAGAAUUCCAGGUGUAGCGGUGAAAUGCGUAGAGAUCUGGAGGAAUACCGGUGGCGAAGGCGGCCCCCUAGACAAAGACUGACGCUCAGGUGCGAAAGCGUGGGGAGCAAACAGGAUUAGAUACCCCUGUAGUC